RNAcentral lists this long non-coding RNA (2572 nucleotides) under Aquilegia coerulea. Its description in RNAcentral is "long non-coding RNA (ACOE_LNC002051)". Lineage: Eukaryota; Viridiplantae; Streptophyta; Magnoliopsida; Ranunculales; Ranunculaceae. The record is from RNAcentral.
UUAAGUUCAAUUAAGUGUACAAGUGAUUAAGCAGCGUAUUCAGCCGUUCAGAGCUUAACUUAGUAACAAACAAACAGCACCUUAGGUGUUGUUUGUUUUUCAUUAAGUCGGUCUGAACGACUGAACUUAACCAUGGACCCAACGUAUUCAGUCUUCAGACUGUUUGUUUUUUAACAAAUGGUUCAGCGCUUAACUUAAUGAUCCAUUGAUUUACCAAUUAAGUGGUUCAGCCGAAAAAACGGGCAGAAUGAACCACUGAAUUACUUAAUUGAGCGAAAGGACGAAUAACCUCCUAAAUCUUUCGUUGUAUUUCUCUUCACUCGUUUGUUCCCCUCUUCUCCUCUUUGGCGACUGGUUCUCUGGUUUUGCUUUGUUUCCUCUCUCUCUCUCUCUGAACUUGAUGUUAUAUUUUUAUUUUUAUUUUUACAGGAUUUGGGGCUAAAACCAUUGAUUUCAAAAAAUUAGCUGUUGAAGACAACCUCUUUGGAUUAAAGGUGAUAAAUUUCCUUAUCAAUUUAUCAUUGAAUGCUCUUUAUCUAUGGUGGGAAUUUUUAAAUGCCAUUUUGAGAAUACCCUUUUAUCGAAAUUUGAAGAAAAUGGUUGCAAAUUAGUUUUAAGAAAAUGGUGUUUGCAGCAAGUAUAUUUACUUGUUCUAAUUUGGAGAAUUCACAUUGUUUUCUCAACCUUUUUUCUACUUUAGUUCAGUUGUCUUGUCAUUGUGUUGUUCUUCUAUUAACUUCAAUCUUGUUCUUCUAUUAACUUCAAUCUUCUCAAUUUUGAUUUCUCUAAUCGCAACCUUGUAGAGUGUCUGGUUUACCCUUCCCCAUAUUACCAAUACGUGCUAGGAGGAAAUUGUCGUUGUUUUUGCCAUAAAACAUUGUUUGCUACUUUCUGCAUUGGUCACUGAUGCACGAAUCCAUAUAUAUGUCUAAUUAUUGAUGAUAAUGCAUCAAAUUAUGACUGACCCUCUCGCCAGUAUGAAAGUGAUUAAGCAAUUAAAACUGACGAUAAAGGAGAAUGACAUUGUGACACGCUUAUAAGCUUAUAAAGUAUCCCAGACGUAGUGCACACAAAUGUAUAGCUAAGCUAGAUGAAACAACCAUCACCACACAAAGUAGCAAAGCAUCUUUCUUUGGUGAGCAUAUACAGUGGUCUGCCACACACUAGGGGACUAAAAAAAAAAAUGAUUUGUUGUGUUUAUAACCUUAUAAAAUAUAUGUGAAACCCCUUCUAAAGGAGAUCGAAUGUUCUCAAUUCAUAGCGCCAUUGCCUCAGCAGCUGGUGGGCAGUCUGACAUGUAUCCAACAUCUCUUGGGUACUUCGGUUGAGUUAGGUUCGGCAGAAUACUACUAGAUAGAGUGGUUAUUUGACAACUUAGAUUUUGUCAUUUGACCUCAAACAAGUGGUGUGAGUUCGUUCGCUCACUGCCAACUGGGUAUGUUUUGUAUGUGUGGCAGUGUGGAUGUAAAAUUAUGAUGAAAUUUUCAUAAAAAGAUUCUGACUACUGUAAAAUUCCUACUCUUGUAAUGUUUGAUGGUACAGUCGCAUAAAUGCACGAACAACACAAACUGAACCAAAGACUUGUUACGAGUUAUUCAACAUUUUUAUUGACUGAACUUUGAAAAUGUUACAAGCAUAUAACUGAGGGAUCAAGCAACUUCUAAUACUAGAACUUAGUAAUUUCGUUCUAAGUAUCUUACAAUGUUUAUUCAUGUCUUUGUCGAUCACUUAGUUUUUCUUUGUGAUCUGUUUAAUAUGAGGUUGUAAGUUUGUAGGGAUCAAUGUAUAUUACUCUACGUAUAAUCUAUUUGAGGUAGUUUGUAUGGAUCUGGCCUUAGGUGUGUGCAUGCGCUUGCGUGUGUGUAUUUUUGAGUUUUGACAUGCGUGUAUUUAUUUUGAUGUUUAUUGUUUAUAUGCAUGACAUGAAGUUGUAGGUUGUAGAGCAACAGAAGCAAAGAUUAUUUGAUUCUCUGUUCUGGUUAUGGUGUGUUAUAGCUCACUAAUCACAUCCUUUCAAUCUUAUAGUUUUCAUGUUCAUAUUUUCGUGGAUAUUUGAAGGACAAGUCCUGAAUGCAUAUUUUCUUGUGUAGUUUGCUUAUCUAACAGAGAUGGAGGUCAAACAUAGAUGCAAGUGCAGGAACUUGGUUUUCCACUGGGUGGUCUUGCAAAGUUAUUUGCGCAGGAUUAGGAUGUGUAUGGCUUCAGUCUUAAGAGUUGUAGCUCUAGAGGUCAUGAUGGGGAAGCAUCCAGAGGAGCUCAUCUCACUAGUCGAACACUUCUAUCAACAUCCUCGUCUGAUGAAGGAUUUUUUUUUUUUUGUAAGGAUUUGUUAGACCAAAAGAAAUUGUUUUUGUAAGUGAGAAGAACUGAGUUGUAUAUUACUACAAACAUUGGUACACAGUUUUUGACCAAAAAAAAAAAAAACAUUUGUAAUGAGAGAGCAACUUCUGGCGAGAGAGAGAAUGAAAAAAACUGUGAACUUAUUAGCAAACAGGGGUAUAAAAGACAAUUAUUAGUCAUUCAGCACUUAAUAGUACACAUUCUAAUUAGUUCAACACUUAAUUAAAUAUUG